UGGGGAAUAUUGGGCAAUGGGCGCAAGCCUGACCCAGCAACGCCGCGUGAAGGAAGAAGGCUCUCGGGUUGUAAACUUCUUUUAAGAGGGACGAAACAAAUGACGGUACCUCUUGAAUAAGCCACGGCUAACUACGUG
RNAcentral lists this ribosomal RNA (138 nucleotides) under uncultured Bacteroides sp. RNAcentral's name for it is "partial 16S ribosomal RNA". It matches the Rfam family "Bacterial small subunit ribosomal RNA", at positions 355 to 507 of the family's 1533-position model. The record is from RNAcentral. Lineage: Bacteria; Pseudomonadati; Bacteroidota; Bacteroidia; Bacteroidales; Bacteroidaceae.